This 221-nucleotide long non-coding RNA is filed under the name Musa acuminata (dwarf banana). Its description in RNAcentral is "long non-coding RNA (MACU_LNC010163)". Lineage: Eukaryota; Viridiplantae; Streptophyta; Magnoliopsida; Zingiberales; Musaceae. The record is from RNAcentral.
CGGAUUUGACGUAAUGCACCCCCACGCCGGACACCCUAUGCGGCACAUGGCUCCUGAACGAGCAUUAACGACGACACGACGCGCACCUACACCCACCAUACCCAAGCAACCUCCUCGGCUGACCCCUCAUGGCCGGCCGAGGCAGGGGAAGGCGCUGACUGACACCCCCCAUACCCUGCGGCAGCUCAGCCUUCCACGCAACGACCACAACGACAGACGCC